This 253-nucleotide ribosomal RNA is filed under the name uncultured bacterium. Its description in RNAcentral is "partial 16S ribosomal RNA". It matches the Rfam family "Bacterial small subunit ribosomal RNA", at positions 524 to 776 of the family's 1533-position model. The record is from RNAcentral.
UACAGAGGGGGCAAGCGUUAUUCGGAAUUAUUGGGCGUAAAGGGCGCGUAGGCGGCCUGGCAAGUGACGGGUGAAAGCCCUCGGCUCAACCGAGGAACUGCCUGUCAUACUGCCGGGCUUGAGUCCGGGAGAGGUGAGUGGAAUUCCCAGUGUAGCGGUGAAAUGCGUAGAUAUUGGGAGGAACACCAGUGGCGAAGGCGGCUCACUGGACCGGAACUGACGCUGAGGCGCGAAAGCGUGGGGAGCAAACAGG